CAAAAGCGUGGUCGUCGCGAGAAUUCAUGGUCGAUUCUCUCUAUGGAUUCCUUUUAUACACACUCCAUCCUAUUUACAGAUAUGAGGCCUGAGCCAGCCAUCAUAACUACAAGAUUUGCCAGUUUCUGCUUGUGGUGGUGGAUUGGCCUGUCGUCAGCAACAAUCCCAUCUCAUCACUUGGAUAAACAUCAUCCCACUUGAUUGGAUAACCUACCUAUGGCCGAGCUACGGAUCUCCUUUUCCCCUUUCUUUCAAUGUCCUCGUGUACGCCCAUGCGAGUGUGGGUGUAUUCACGAGGACACCCUUUUCCCUAUCCUUCCUGGUGUUGGAUUCAACUUUUCAGCGGAUGAAAUGCGUGUGGAAGCCUGGCUGCAUUUCCCAGGCUUAAAGAGUUCCAAGAUUGUAGAAGAUUGAUCUCCAGAGAGUCAUCGACGGAGAGAGCGGUUAAAUCAAGUGCACAGUAUUGAGAUAAACGGACGGCUGAUGUGGGGAGGCAAAAGGUCAAAUGGAUUUCAAGGAAAAAAAAUAAGGGAAUAUACAGAAUUGGCCCAUUCAUCAACUGGCCAGCCAGCAGCGGUUAUUACGAUCUAUAAAAAGGGGGACCCGUCAAAUAAAUUGGUUUGGAAUUCCUCCAAGACGUUUUUGUUUUAUUUUUUCCUUUUUUUGUUGAUCGACCAUACUCGGCCGCAUUGGGAGAAUUAAAUAAGGGGGUCACGUGAGAUUGUUAUAAUUAGUCGGCUGACAUCAUCAGCGCAUGUAGAUUUACGAGCGGGGGGCUUCAAACAGCAUUCGAAAGUGCGCACACAUGCUGCUGCAACUGGGCGCAAAUGAUGCCAGUCGUUGAUUAACUCCCUGCUGAUUUAAUCGGCGCCCGUUUCUUGGAAUUAUCAGACGAAAAAAAGAAAAAGAAAAAAGGGGGGAAAGAAAUUUGGUGAAAAUUUGGGAAAACAAAUCGACGGGAGAUACGGCUGGUGUCUAUAGAGCUGCGAGAUUUUGGUUGAGUUUAUUGCGAGACAGUAAUAACGCCACUCCCUUAUCGUGUUGGCUGCCUCUCAGCUGUGGCUCCUAUACUAAUAUACGAAUGACUUUUGAAAUUGAUUAGCAUUCGAACGGGACGACACACGCAUUGCUCGCUCCCAAUUGAGUCCUCCUCACGUUGCACGCCACAUGAGACUCUAUACGUAAAGGGGGGAGGGAGAAGAAGAAGAAUAACGGCACCCACCGAACAAAAUUACUGGCAGCUCGAGUCACUUUGUCGUUAUCAAUGAAGUUUCAAGUUUCACUGUUGCGACUCUACAGAACAAAAAAAUAAGGAGCUGCGUGUCCGGUUCUGUUUCUUUCCUUAUUAUCAAGCUUAUUAUGGAAAGAUAUAUUUUGUUUUUCUCUCGCUCUCUUGUUGUGUUACUAUACUUUAAAGUGUUUGUCAACUCGUUUGUUUUUCUUUUUCUCCUGAUCUGAUGCGACCCGACAGCAAAUCCAUUCCCCAAAAAAGAAAAGGGCGCGUACAAACAGCACCUUAUGCUGUUUGGUUAUGACUCUCUUUUCUCGUUCGUCCAUUAGGAACCAACGCGGUUGGGAUACAAGGGCUGCGCUGGGCGACUGUUAUAAGAGAGCCAUCAGUGUCGGAGCACACACACACACACGGUCCGGCUGUGUGUUAUUAUUAUAAGUUAGAAAUUGGGAAUGUAGACUAGGAAAAGGGAGCCCCUUGUGUGUAGUAUAUCCAUUAGCUAUAGGCAUUUGAGUUAUAGGUGGCCAGGCAGUCAGGCCCCGGCUCGGUUGGUGGAUAUCCAACACUUGGACGAAUUUCUCGUCGCCGUCCGCUUCAAUGUUCUUCCCGCCGCCACCUCCCGCGCUCAUCAUUAGUUACCGUAUACCGCAGAUGGGGCUCGUUAUGAGUGCCGCUCGGUUUUGUCCCUCGGUCGGGCCGUGGUCGCAAUGUAAUAUCGAAAAACGAUGGGGGGAAAAAAUAAAAGGAAGGUUGCGCUCGCCAUGCAUGGGGGGUUAUUAUGCGCAGUACAUUAUGGAAAAAUACUUAUGACUUGAGGGUGAGAGUGUCAAAAAAAGGGGGACCUCUCUUUCACUUUGGUUUUUUGAUCAUUAGUCAAAUGGCAAAACGGCAUGAGCGCAAAUAGAGAGGCGAAACAGACCUAAUCGCUUUUCCCACACUAUAUAGUACUCCAAAUGUUGGGUAAUGGCUACUACACCACAGGCGAAACAAUCAGUGUAAAAUACUGGGGCAAAGUCUACUUUUUCUUUUUCUUUACGAGUUCCCAUAUAAACCAAUCAACUGCAUUCCUCAAUCGAUUCCGGCGGAAAGAUUCGCUCCAGCCUCAAUUCAGAGCCACACCUUAUCAAUAUAAUAUCACCACCGUGUAUACAGUCGGUCACAAUGCCGAGUCACACAUAACGAAAAUAUUUCUGUAUAUUCUCGUAUAUAGAAAUCAAAUCCCAAAAAAUGUUUUUCUUCUCCCCCCUUGUAAAAAAAAUUGAAUUGAAAAUUGAAUUGGGCGCGGAUCGACAAUGUGGAGGAAUUCGGGGAAUCCGCGUCCAUAUUUCUCCAAUGCGGCCAGCGUGUGUGUACGUCUAUUUUUCAAUGAAGAGUCUUCGCAGCUGUGAUAUGGAAAGAGGAGGAGUUAGUCAAGUCAAUAGGUCGCCUACAAUGUAACGAUAGCCAAAACCGCUUUGCACUUUUAUUCCCCUCCGAAAAAAAAAUGUACAACCGUAUACAACAUAAACUACAUACACACAUAGCCAUACAUGGUCUGAGCAUGGAGAGAGUGAAGUGGUUGAGAGAGAGAGGAAUACACAAAAAAAAAGUAAAAUCAGACCGAGAUGUUAAAGAAGCCAUUCGUUCUGGAUACCUGACAAUCAAUGGAGCGUCCCCGAAUAGGUCCCUCUGUCUGUGUUCAAAAAGGUGAAUGAACACAGGGCUGAAGAUUGUUGGGUUCCCUGCAUUAUGUGAAUGUAUACAAGAACCCAAAGUCUCUCUCUUGUGAAGACAAGAAAAGAAGAAGAAAAGGGGGGAGGAAAAUGUCUACGGUUUUCUUUUUUUUCCCCUUUCCUUCAUCCGCGUGUUAUAAUGGAUUUCGUAUGCACGCGCGCAGCAUGAUAUCCCCAAUUCUUUUUUUAUUAUUAUUUUCCAAAAGAAAAAAGUCGGAGAAAAUGUCCUUUGAUGCUGAUGGCGCGCUCUCCCCCGCGCAGUCAUCAUAGAUUCACAACCACUUUUUUGAGUGGUUCAGUCUAUCAAAAUCCAGGUGUUUGUCCCUUUUGGCUGGACCAUCAACUGCCUGCAGACAGUGCUGGGUGGUGGGGCGGUCUUGAAUGUAUAGGAACCCUUUCAAUAUAAACCCAACCGCGUCAUUCUUAUUCAUCCCUUUUUAGGGUGUAGUAAACGUUCCAUUCAUUUGUUGUAAUUGAAUCAAUCAGUUUUCAGCUUAAUUUUUUAAUUUUAUAUUGCAAUUUUGGCAAAUGAACUGCAAUAUUCAGAUUAGUCAUUUACAAGCACAUGAGAAAAACUAGUUAAUUGGUCCUUAUUGUAAUCAGAUUAUCUCAAUGUUGAGGUUUAAUUUAAUCACUCUACUUUAAAUGCAACAUUGAUUCAUAUUCUGGGGAUUUACCAGUUAAAUUACAGAAAAUUGUUGAUCGUCCCAAAUGCGACAGUUUAGUAACUAGUCUGAUUCCGCCAUCAAACCACUGGCCAAAUUACCGAUUGUGGGCGAUCAAUCAUGUUCAAAUAAUGUUAAUUGCAAUUGAUUGAUGUAUCUUAAUUCUAUUGAAUCUUCGUUGAGCUAUAAUCGCACAUUAAACGGAAGGAAUAUGGGAUUCGGUUGAAGAAAGAUAUAUCGCUCACAAAUAUUUCUCACGCCUUUAAGGCUGAAUAACUGUGCUCUAAUUAAAAUCUUUCAAUAUCUCUAAUGCAUUACAGUCAAUCAAAGAUAAUGCCAUUAAUUUAACGGGAUUCUAUUCGAAUUCCAACUGCUGGCGACCUUCGAUCGACGCUCUAGAUUUGCAAACGUUUUCAGGUGUAAACGUUUGGAUUCCGGAUAUUUUCUUGGAUAACCGCUUUAAAAGUCCAACUAAAUCUCAUUACAAGAUCUCUGGGUCAUAAUUGAAUUUUUCUGUGAUGUGUAAUAGAGUUCCGGAUAGAUUUCUGAUUUCUCUACACGAAAGUAUUUGCCUCUACUUAAAAACGCUCUUGUAAUGUCGGAACCCAUCAAAGUAAUUUUAAAUUCCAUUUUGACCAGAUAUUUUCUUUUUCGCGAUGCGCAGCACAUAUCUAUCAAAUGAACUGUACUUUCGAGUUUGAUUCCUUUAAUCUGAGUCAUUAUUGUUUGAGUGAUGACGUAACUCCGAUAUAUUAACUUAUUUGAUCUCUUAAGCAUUCGUA
RNAcentral lists this long non-coding RNA (4390 nucleotides) under Daphnia pulicaria. Its description in RNAcentral is "uncharacterized LOC124338545". Lineage: Eukaryota; Metazoa; Arthropoda; Branchiopoda; Diplostraca; Daphniidae. The record is from RNAcentral.